AUGGCCGUGGUGUUGAGGGUGCUGGUUAUGCCCCCUGGCCCUAGUAAUGCUAGUGCUUCACAGAGGCAGGGUUUUGGUAUUGAUGUUGUUGCUUCAGCGUUGGAGCGCGCUGAGCAUAUCUUAAGUAAUGUGUGUUCUGAGCUGCAAAAGGUCCCAACGACAGUUGAGCGUUUGAGCUAUAUCAAUGGUAUCCUUCCUGAAGGUCAUCAAUUUAAUGCUGAGGAAUCUGUUGACUACAUUGAGAUGGAGAGAAUUUUAAUCGGUGAUAUGCGCGACGGUGCCGCUAAUCUAGUUCAGAGCUCGGUUCGCCUGUUGAACAACAUGAAGCAUUUCAGAACUAUGCAAAACUCUCGCUGCAAGCCAUAUGAAGAAAGUGCAAAUGUUGUUAUCAAGCAGUUUGAGGAGGAUGAGGCUGCUGCCACCGACAGCAGGGCUGGUGAUGGUACUGAGGCUAAUGUUUUUUACCACGAAACGAAUGAUGUUGGCUUUGAGCGUCCUGAUGUUGAUAUUGAUCACGAUGAGGCUGCUGGCACCGACAGCAGGGCUGAUGAUGGUACUGAGGCUAAUGUUUCUGAUCAGCGUACGAACGAUGUUGGCUCGCAGCACCCUGUUGUUGAUGAGACCAGUCAUAAUGUUGAGGCUGUUGUUGAUGGUGGAGUUAAUGAUCUAUCCACUGAUAAGUGCAAGGGUCCUAUUGUUGGCGAUGAGCCUUGUUUGCCUAUUGGUGAUGUCGCUUUGAAUGUUAGCAGCAGCAAGUUCGAUGAUGUUGCUGUGAAUGCUUCCAAUAUUACUAUUGUUGAGCGUGAAGUUGUCCUUAGUGGUGGAGAUGAUGCUCAUGAUGUUCCAUUGAGUAGUGGGUGCAAUGUUGGUACCAAACUUGCUGAUGAGGAUGCUGGUGCUGCCAGCAUACUUGAUGCCAAAUCGCCUGGUGUUGGUAUUGCUGGGAAUGAAAAUGUUUCUGGUUGUGAAGAUUUGUCGCCGGAGAAUUUCCCGCUUGGAGGUCUUGAUUACGGUGAUGCAUUGCAAUAUGCUUCUAGCAUGGAGGAGGUGCCAUCCGAGGAUGAUAAUUUACUUCUAUCAAUUUCUUCUGACCCCUUGACGCAGGAGGCGCUCUUGUUGUCCCAAGAUUUUCUUUCUACAGACCCUAAAAGCGCAUCAAUAUUGGUGUCCUCUCAAGAUGUCCCAUCGUCAAACCCUGAAACUGGAGGCAUAAUGGUCUCAUCACAGGAACUACCAUCAUCGUCAAACCCUGAUAGUCCAGAAAGUGGUAAUGUUGUUAAGGUUGAUACGUUUUUCUUCGCUGUUACGAGGUUGCGCACGAAUCGUACGAAAUGUCACAAGCCAAUGUUUCAAAAUAAAGAAUGUGAUGCCAGUGUUGGUUCUAUUGCUAAAGCGUUUGUCCCCACUGGCAUGCUCAACUCAGACAGUGCUGAUGUUGUUUUAUAUUCUCUAUGUCAGAAGUACCGAGACACUGACAAGUUGAUAGUUCCCAGAUGGGUGACGACCAAGAUCCGUGAUGGAAAUAUUGAUUCCAAUGUGCUAAAUUGGUUCACAAGAUCAGGUGAGUGGCUGGAUCUUGGUGAGCCUGACUACAGGUUCUUUGGUAGCUAG
RNAcentral lists this ribosomal RNA (1611 nucleotides) under Triticum aestivum (bread wheat). RNAcentral's name for it is "partial small subunit ribosomal RNA". Lineage: Eukaryota; Viridiplantae; Streptophyta; Magnoliopsida; Poales; Poaceae. The record is from RNAcentral.